UCCGGUUGAUCCUGCCGGCGGGCACCGCUAUUGGAAUCCGAUUAAGGCAUGCGAGUCGAGAGAGGUAAAGCCCUCGGCGGACGGCUGAGUAACACGCGGAUAAUCUGCCCUCGGAUGGGGGAUAAUCUCGGGAAACUGAGAAUAAUACCCCAUAGGUCUAGUAUGCUGGAAUGCUUCUAGGCUAAAAAGCUCCGGCGUCCGAGGAUGAGUCUGCGGCCUAUCAGGUUGUAGUGGGUGUAACGGACCCACUAGUCUACGACGGGUAGGGGCGUUGGGAGACCGAGCCCCCAGAUGGAUUCUGAGACCGAAUCCAGGCCCUACGGGGCGCAGCAGCUGCGAAAACUUCGCAAUGUGGAAACCCACGACGAGGGGAUUCCAAGUGCCAAUGCUUUGCAUUGGCUGUUCUCCUGUCUAAAAAACAGGAGAAGUAAGGGCCGGGUAAGACGGGUGCCAGCCGCCGCGGUAAUACCCGCGGCCCAAGUGGUGUUCGAUAUUAUUGAGCUUAAAGCGUCCGUAGCCUGUCCUGUAAAUCUUCGGGUAAAUCGUGCAGCUUAACUGUUCGAAUUCCGAGGAGACUGCAGGACUUGGGACCGGGAGAAGUCGGAGGUACCUCUGGGGUAGGGGUAAAAUCCUGUAAUCCCAGAGGGACCACCAGUGGCGAAGGCGUCCGACCAGAACGGAUCCGACGGUGAGGGACGAAGCCCUGGGGCGCAAACGGGAUUAGAUACCCCGGUAGUCCAGGGUGUAAACGCUGCGGGCUUGGUGUCGGGGGUCCUACGAGGGCGCCCGGUGCCGGAGAGAAAUUGUUAAGCCUGCCGCUUGGGGAGUACGGUCGCAAGACUGAAACUUAAAGGAAUUGGCGGGGGAGCACCGCAACGGGAGGAGCGUGCGGUUCAAUUGAAUUCAACGCCGGG
RNAcentral lists this ribosomal RNA (914 nucleotides) under uncultured archaeon. Its description in RNAcentral is "bacterial SSU rRNA". It matches the Rfam family "Archaeal small subunit ribosomal RNA", at positions 1 to 922 of the family's 1478-position model. The record is from RNAcentral.